AAAACUUGCCCUCGACCUUUGCGUCCAAGGCAAACCACACUGUGUGCACCGUUAUUGUUCUUUGGCAAGGGCUUGGGUCUCACCAAGACCCAACUUCUCCUUCGGCUCCAUCCCCUCACGGGGACAGCUGGACAUGGGAAGCCGUACCCUGCCAAGUGACACUUAAACACGCAUUUUGUCUGAAAAUAUCAAUUUUUAAAUAAACCAAACA
Molecule: unclassified non-coding RNA, 211 nt
Filed under: uncultured fungus
Lineage: Eukaryota; Fungi
Description: sequence contains ITS1, 5.8S rRNA gene
Source: RNAcentral